RNAcentral lists this ribosomal RNA (468 nucleotides) under uncultured bacterium. RNAcentral's name for it is "partial 16S ribosomal RNA". It matches the Rfam family "Bacterial small subunit ribosomal RNA", at positions 28 to 507 of the family's 1533-position model. The record is from RNAcentral.
GACGAACGCUGGCGGCGUGCUUAACACAUGCCAGUCGAACGGAAAGGCCCUGCUUUUGUGGGGUGCUCGAGUGGCGAACGGGUGAGUAACACGUGAGUAACCUGCCCUUGACUUUGGGAUAACUUCAGGAAACUGGGGCUAAUACCGGAUAGGAGCUCCUGCUGCAUGGUGGGGGUUGGAAAGUUUCGGCGGUUGGGGAUGGACUCGCGGCUUAUCAGCUUGUUGGUGGGGUAGCGGCUUACCAAGGCUUUGACGGGUAGCCGGCCUGAGAGGGUGACCGGCCACAUUGGGACUGAGAUACGGCCCAGACUCCUACGGGAGGCAGCAGUGGGGAAUAUUGCACAAUGGGCGGAAGCCUGAUGCAGCAACGCCGCGUGCGGGAUGACGGCCUUCGGGUUGUAAACCGCUUUCGCCUGUGACGAAGCGUGAGUGACGGUAAUGGGUAAAGAAGCACCGGCUAACUACGUG